This 350-nucleotide ribosomal RNA is filed under the name uncultured bacterium. RNAcentral's name for it is "bacterial SSU rRNA". It matches the Rfam family "Bacterial small subunit ribosomal RNA", at positions 355 to 697 of the family's 1533-position model. The record is from RNAcentral.
UGGGGAAUAUUGGACAAUGGGCGAAAGCCUGAUCCAGCAAUACCGCGUGUGUGAAGAAGGCCUUCGGGUUGUAAAGCACUUUCAGUAAGGAAGAAUGGCCCAAGAUUAAUACUCUUGGGAGGUGACAUUACUUACAGAAGAAGCACCGGCUAACUCUGUGCCAGCAGCCGCGGUAAUACAGAGGGUGCAAGCGUUAAUCGGAAUUACUGGGCGUAAAGCGCACGUAGGUGGAUAUUUAAGUCGAAUGUGAAAGCCCUGGGCUCAACCUGGGAACUGCAUUCGAUACUGGGUAUCUAGAGUAUGGUAGAGGGUAGUGGAAUUUCCGGUGUAGCGGUGAAAUGCGUAGAUAU